Molecule: long non-coding RNA, 1093 nt
Organism: Oncorhynchus kisutch (coho salmon)
Lineage: Eukaryota; Metazoa; Chordata; Actinopteri; Salmoniformes; Salmonidae
Exons: 4
Source: RefSeq, a predicted model, not a curated record
AGCUGGGCCCUGGGUCGGGGGGAACAGAGGCUGGGUCCCGGUGUUGGACAACAUAUUGGGUCAGCUCAACCAGACAAUGACAGCACUUUCCUUCUCUCCUUCCUGGGUUACAGAUGGGUGUACCGGAAACCUAGUUACAACACUCGGGUCUGCAGCUGCCAGUUUCCGGUCCAACAACAGUGCAUCCCUCAGGACAUCCGGUGCCAGUGUGAUCCAGUUGUAGAGGUUCACGCCUGGGGACGGACAGAUGAAUAAUUCAUCAAAGACAUGAGGCGUAACAUGCGGAACAUCAGGCUCACCCCAGGAGAAGCAGUGCAUGAUCAACGCUACUCUCAGCAAGGAGAUCUGCUGGAAAUGAUCGUUCUCUAAGACAUUUAAACUUCAUAGAUAGAAAUUCGCACACGAUAAAAUGCAACGUGGAUUGUAUUGUACUACUGGAUGAAACUGAGGAGAUGCACUCAGAUCUUUGUGAUUGAACUUACGUUAACUUAGACAUAGUAACCAGGAGUGGUAUGGUGUAGGCAUAGUAACCAGGAGUGGUAUGGUGUUGAUAUCGUGUAGGCAUAGUAACCAGGAGUGGUAUGGUGUUGAUAUCGUGUAGGCAUAGUAACCAGGAGUGGUAUGGUGUUGAUAUCGUGUAGGCAUAGUAACCAGGAGGGGUAUGGUGUUGAUAUCGUGUAGUCAUAGUAACCAGGAGGGGUAUGGUGUUGAUAUCGUGUAGGCAUAGUAACCAGGAGUGGUAUGGUGUUGAUAUCGUGUAGGCAUAGUAACCAGGAGGGGUAUGGUGUUAAUAUCGUGUAGUCAUAGUAACCAGGAGGGGUAUGGUGUUGAUAUCGUGUAGUCAUAGUAACCAGGAGUGGUAUGGUGUUGAUAUCGUGUAGGCAUAGUAACCAGGAGGGGUAUGGGGUUAAUAUCAUGUAGUCAUAGUAACCAGGAGGGGUAUGGUGUUGAUAUCGUGUAGGCAUAGUAACCAGGAGGGGUAUGGGGUUAAUAUUGUGUAGUCAUAGUAACCAGGAGGGGUAUGGUGUUGAUAUCGUGUAGUCAUAGUAACCAGGAGGGGUAUGGUGUUAAUAUCGUGUAGUCAUAGUAACCA